This 61-nucleotide transfer RNA is filed under the name Systropus sp. 2 YXA-2022a. Its description in RNAcentral is "tRNA-Ser". Lineage: Eukaryota; Metazoa; Arthropoda; Insecta; Diptera; Bombyliidae. The record is from RNAcentral.
AAAGGAAUAAAAAUUAAAGCUGCUAACUUUAAAUAUAAUGAAUAAUAUCAUUUAUCCUUUA